RNAcentral lists this unclassified non-coding RNA (993 nucleotides) under Hindsia longiflora. RNAcentral describes it as "partial contains trnL gene and trnL-F intergenic spacer". The stretch from base 1 to 511 matches the Rfam family "Group I catalytic intron". Rfam says of the family: Group I catalytic introns are large self-splicing ribozymes. They catalyse their own excision from mRNA, tRNA and rRNA precursors in a wide range of organisms. The core secondary structure consists of 9 paired regions (P1-P9). Lineage: Eukaryota; Viridiplantae; Streptophyta; Magnoliopsida; Gentianales; Rubiaceae. The record is from RNAcentral.
UUAAUUGGAUUGGGCCUUGGUAUGGAAACCCGCUGAGUGAGAACUUUCAAAUUCAGAGAAACCCUGGAAUUAAUAAAAAGGGGCAAUCCUGAGCCAAAUCCUGUUUUCCGAAAACAAAGGUUCAUAAAGUGAAAAGGGGAUAGGUGCAGAGACUCAAUGGAAGCUGUUCUAACAAAUGGAGUUGGCUGCGGUAGUAGAGAAGUCUUUCCAUCAAAAAUUCAAUAAGUAUCAAUAAGUAUAAAGUAUUAAGGAUGAAGUGAAGGAUAAACGUAUAUACAUACGUAGUGAAUAGUAUAUUAUAUAUUAAAUGAGUAAUGACUAAUGACAGCCCGAAUGAAUCUAUGUUUUUUCUAUGAAAAAACAAAGAAUUGAUGUGAAUAGAUUCCACGUUGAAGAAAAAAUCUAACAUUCAUUAAUCAAACGAUUCACUCCAUAGUCUGAUAGAUCUUUUCAAGAAUUGAUUAAUCGGACGAGAAUAAAGAUAGAGUCCCAUUCUACAUGUCAAUGCUGGCAAAAAUGAAAUUUAUAGUUAAGAGGAAAAUCCGUCGAUUUUAAANNUCGUGANGGUNNNNNNNNNNCCAACCCCAAAUAGANUAUUUACCUCCCCAACUAUUUACCUAUCCCUCUUUUUGUUAUCGGUUUAAAAUUCCUUAUCUAUUCACGCUAUUUUCUUAGAAUUGAUCGGGGAGGAAAUGCCCUUUUCUUAUCACAGCUAUAUGAUAUACAUAGAAAUGAACAUCUUUGAGCACGAAAUCCCCAUUUGAAUGAUUUACAAUUUAUAUAAUUUAAAAUUACUCAUACUGAAACUCCCAAAGUACUCUUUUUUAAGAUUAAUAUCCAAGCCAAGCAAUUUCAGUACCUAACUAAAACUUGGGAAUUCCCUUUCCUUCUUUUAAUUGACACAGCCCCCAUUUUCGAGUAAAAUGAGGAUGCUACAUUGGUCUGGUCGGGAUAGCUCAGCUGGUAGAGCAGAGGACUGAAAAUCCUCGUGUC